GCCAAGACGUAAAUCUACUCACAUACUAAACGCCAGGGUAUUACGAGCUUUAGCUUAAAACCCAAAGGACUUGACGGUACCCCGCCUAACUAGAGGAGCCUGUUCUAUAAUCGACAACCCACGAUAUACCUAACCAUCUCUUGCCCCAGCCUGUAUACCUCCGUCGUAAGCUUACCUUGUGAACGCAUUAGUGGGCUCAAAGGUUUAACACCCAAACGUCAGGUCAAGGUGCAGCCCAUGAAAUGGGAGCAAUGGGCUACAAUUUCUAAUCUAGAACUAACAGAAUACUACAUGAAACAUAGUUAUAAAGAAGGAUUUAGCAGUAAAUAGGGAAUAGAGAGCCCUAUUAAACCCAAUCCCGGAGUAUGU
RNAcentral lists this ribosomal RNA (369 nucleotides) under Philautus sp. FB-16. RNAcentral describes it as "partial 12S ribosomal RNA". It matches the Rfam family "Bacterial small subunit ribosomal RNA", at positions 875 to 1384 of the family's 1533-position model. The record is from RNAcentral. Lineage: Eukaryota; Metazoa; Chordata; Amphibia; Anura; Rhacophoridae.